This 468-nucleotide ribosomal RNA is filed under the name Chrysolina haemoptera. Its description in RNAcentral is "partial 16S ribosomal RNA". The stretch from base 343 to 468 matches the Rfam family "Bacterial large subunit ribosomal RNA", at positions 2473 to 2599 of the family's 2925-position model. The record is from RNAcentral. Lineage: Eukaryota; Metazoa; Arthropoda; Insecta; Coleoptera; Chrysomelidae.
AAAUUUAAAUGGCCGUGGUAUUUUGACCGUGCUAAGGUAGCAUAAUCAUUAGUUUUUUAAUUAAAAACUGGAAUGAAAGGUUGGAUAAGAAAAUGACUGUCUCUAUUAAAUUUUAUUAUAACUUUAUUUUUAAGUUAAAAAGCUUAAUUAAAAUUAAAAGACGAGAAGACCCUAUAGAGUUUUAUUAUUAAUUAAAAAUUAUAUUUUAGAAUUAAUUUAUAUAUUUUCUUUAAUAAUUUAAUUGGGGUGAUUGAAAAAUUUAAUAAACUUUUUUUAUUUUUUAACAUAAAUUUAUGAAUAAAUGAUCCAAUAUUUUUGAUUAUAAGAUAUAAUUACCUUAGGGAUAACAGCGUAAUUUUUUUAAAGAGUUCAUAUUAAAAAAAAAGAUUGCGACCUCGAUGUUGGAUUAAAAUUAAUUUUUGGUGUAGAAGCUAAAAUAUUAGGUCUGUUCGACCUUUAAAAUUUUAC